GAUGAAGAACGCAGUGAAAUGCGAUAAGUAGUGUGAAUUGCAGAAUUCAGUGAAUCAUCGAAUCUUUGAACGCACAUUGCGCCCCUUGGUAUUCCAUGGGGCAUGCUUGUUCGAGCGUCAUUUGUACUCUCAAGCUCUGCUUGGUGUUGGGUGUUUGUCCUUUCCCUGCGUUAGGACUCGCCUCAAAUUCAUUGGCAGCCGAUAUAUUGGUUUGAAGCGCAGCACAAUUUGCGAUUCGGGCUGGUUAUUGUUGGCGUCCAGUAAGCACAUUUAACACUUUUGACCUCGGAUCAAGUAGGGAUACCCGCUGAACUUAAGCAUAUCAAUAAGCGGAGGA
RNAcentral lists this unclassified non-coding RNA (337 nucleotides) under soil metagenome. RNAcentral's name for it is "partial contains 5.8S ribosomal RNA, internal transcribed spacer 2, and large subunit ribosomal RNA". The stretch from base 1 to 120 matches the Rfam family "5.8S ribosomal RNA", at positions 35 to 154 of the family's 154-position model. The record is from RNAcentral.